UCCGGUUUGGCACCGGCAGUCGCCCUAGAGUGCCCGGCUUUACCCGCCGGUAACUAGGGCCGAGGGUUGCGCUCGUUGCGGGACUUAACCCAACAUCUCACGACACGAGCUGACGACAGCCAUGCAGCGCCUGUGCAGGGAUCCCGAAGGAGGCCCCGUGUUUCCACGGAGUUUCCCCUGCAUGUCAAGCCAGGUAAGGUUCUUCGCGUUGCGUCGAAUUAAACCACAUGCUCCACCGCUUGUGCGGGCCCCCGUCAAUUCCUUUGAGUUUCAGCCUUGCGGCCGUACUCCCCAGGCGGGGCACUUAAUGCGUUAGCGCCGGCACUCGGAGGGUCGCUCCCCCAAGCACCUAGUGCCCAUCGUUUACGGCGUGGACUAC
Molecule: unclassified non-coding RNA, 379 nt
Filed under: uncultured Gemmatimonadaceae bacterium
Lineage: Bacteria; Pseudomonadati; Gemmatimonadota; Gemmatimonadia; Gemmatimonadales; Gemmatimonadaceae
Description: contains 16S-23S intergenic spacer region
Source: RNAcentral